RNAcentral lists this long non-coding RNA (1607 nucleotides) under Sus scrofa (pig). RNAcentral describes it as "lncRNA (ENSSSCG00040066867.1)". The record is from RNAcentral. Lineage: Eukaryota; Metazoa; Chordata; Mammalia; Artiodactyla; Suidae.
GCAUGAACUUGAAAAUCAAAGUGCUGAGACAUGAAACUCAGCUCUGCCUCCUUGACUCACUCUGCCACCUUGGGCAAGUGAUAGCCCACCAGGGAGACUCAGUUUCCCUGCCUCUAUAAUGGUGAUAAUAAUUGUAGUUAAUGUGAAUAUAAAUAUGGUGCACUUGUGUAGAGGCUAAUGUAAUAACCCUGAAGUCAACUCUGUCAGUAUUAGUAACCUAUUACCAAAGUAAAUUUUGCAUUAUGUUUGGUAUAACUACUUACUUCAUAUCUUUUGGAUUAGGUCACUUGACAACUUUACUCAAAAGCACAGAAAUUUACCCAUUUUUAUCCCUUACUCUAUUUUUCCUCUUAGGAUCAAGUUUUGUCAAUCCAUAUUCAUUUUGCCACUUUACAGAAACAGUUCUACAAGUAGUCCCAUGUGUACUUCAGAGAUGGGAUAAGGUACAAUUCCUCUCUUUUCCUUUUUUUUUUCUUUUUUUAAAAUUAGAGUGAAAUUCUUAUAACAUAAACUAACCAAUUUUUUUUUUUGUAUUAAAGACCUAAACAUAAGACCAGAUACUAUAAAACUCUUAGAGGAAAAUAUAGGCAGAACACUCUUUGACAUCAAUUGCAGCAGUGAUCUUUUUUGGACCUACCCCCCAGAGGAUUGAAAAUAAACACAAAAAUAAUUGGACCUAAUUAAACUUAAAAGCUUUUGAACAGCAAAGGAAGCCAUAAACAAAAUGAACAGACAACUUACAGAAUGGGAGAAAAUGUUUGCAAAUGAAACCACCAACAAGGGAUUAAUCUCGGAAAUACGCAAAUAUCUCAUACAAGUUUAUACCAAAAAAGCCACAAACAUCCCAAUCAAAAAAUGGUCAGAAGAUCUAAACAGACACUUCUUCAAAGAAGACAGACAGAUGGCCAAAAAGCACAUGAAAAGAUGCUCAACAUGACUAAUCAUUAGAGAAAUGCACAUCAAAACUACAAUGAGGUAUCACCUCAUACCAGUCACAAUGGCCAUCAUUUACAAACAAUAAAUGUUGGAGAUGGUUCAGAGAAAAGGGUACCCUCCUACACUGCUGGUAAGAAUACAAAUUGGUGCAGCCACUAUGGAGAACAGUAUGGAGAUUCCUUAAAAACCCAAAUACACAACUACCAUAUGAUCCAGCAAUCCUACUUCUGGACAUAUAUCUAGAGGAAACCAUGAUUCCAAAAGAUGCUUGCACCCCAGUGUUCACUGUAGCAUUAUUUACAAUAGCUGAGACAUGGAAGCAAGCCAAAUGUCCACAAACAGAUGGAAUAAAGAAGAUGUGAUAUAUAUAUACAUAUAUAUAUGAAUAUUAUUCCACCAUAAAAAAAGAAUGAAAUAAUGUCAUUUGCAGCAACAUGGAUGGACCUAGAAAUGAUCAAACUAAGUGAAGUAAGUCUGACAGAGAAAAAACAAAUAUGAGAUUACUAAUAUGUGGAAUAAUAAAAAAUGAUGGAAAUGCUAUAAAGUUGGGUUGUGAUGAUCAUUGCACAACUCUAAAUGUAAUAAAAUUCAUUUAAAAAAAAAGAAUGAUACAGGGGAACUUGUCAACCAAACAAAAUCAGACUCAAAGAUUCUGAAACCAAACUUAGGGU